AGAGUUUGAUCCUGGCUCAGGACGAACGCUGGCGGCGUGCUUAACACAUGCAAGUCGAACGGUAAGGCCCCUUCGGGGGUACACGAGUGGCGAACGGGUGAGUAACACGUGAGCAACCUGCCCUUGACACUGGAAUAACAGUUGGAAACAGCUGCUAAUGCCGGAUAUGACCUUCGGUGGCAUCACCUGGAGGUGGAAAGUGCUUAGCGGUCAAGGAUGGGCUCGCGGCCUAUCAGCUAGUUGGUGAGGUAACGGCUCACCAAGGCUUCGACGGGUAGCCGGCCUGAGAGGGCGACCGGCCACACUGGGACUGAGAUACGGCCCAGACUCCUACGGGAGGCAGCAGUGGGGAAUAUUGCACAAUGGGCGCAAGCCUGAUGCAGCAACGCCGCGUGCGGGAUGACGGCCUUCGGGUUGUAAACCGCUUUCAGUUCCGACGAAGCGUAAGUGACGGUAGGAACAGAAGAAGGACCGGCCAACUACGUGCCAGCAGCCGCGGUG
RNAcentral lists this ribosomal RNA (501 nucleotides) under uncultured Actinomycetes bacterium. RNAcentral describes it as "bacterial SSU rRNA". It matches the Rfam family "Bacterial small subunit ribosomal RNA", at positions 8 to 522 of the family's 1533-position model. Lineage: Bacteria; Bacillati; Actinomycetota; Actinomycetes. The record is from RNAcentral.